UGGAUGGAUAAUCACAGCUCGCAACCAAGAAAUUAAAUCAGCCAAGGUUAUCGCAUUAAUAAGCCCCCUGGUUCUGCUCUUUUGGUUUUUAUAGCUUCAGUUUUGACUGAACUUUUGGGGUCAGUAGACUGAUUUAAAUCAAAGCUAUAAUUGAGCCUCGCCUGAGAAGCCAGAACCGAACGCGGUCCACGAGGUGCCGCGAAUACCAAUCUGGGGGUCU
Molecule: long non-coding RNA, 220 nt
Organism: Drosophila subobscura
Lineage: Eukaryota; Metazoa; Arthropoda; Insecta; Diptera; Drosophilidae
Exons: 2
Source: RefSeq, a predicted model, not a curated record